AGCUAUAUAUUAAAGAGAUUUAUUUAUAUAAAUAGGUUUGCUAGCUGAUUGUGUAUAUACGCAGGCCAAUGCUUCUAAUUUCAUAGCAAGCUCGCUUGCUAUGAAAUAGGCAACCAGUAAUAUAAGCAAGUGUGUGCUAUUUAUAGCGCUAGCCUACAAACCUAUAAUUAUAUUAACUCUAAGAGAAAUUUAAUAAUAAACGAAGUGAAUUGAAAUAUCUUAGUAACUUUAGGAAAAGAAAUCAAAAGAGAUUCUAUGAUUAGCGUGAGCUAAAAUAGACUAGCCUAAAAAGUCAAAUGGUGGAUAAACUGUUUAAAUUAAAUGGGGAACCUUCCUCAAAGGCUAAAUAUAAUAUAUAAGCGAUAGUGGAAAGUACCGUGAGGGAACCAAAACAAAAACAGUGAUUUUAUAAGCAGUUCGGUAAAAUAAAAAAAAGUUAGAACGUACCUUUUGCAUAAUGGGUCACCAAGUUAACAUUAGAUGCGAGUAGGAGGGAGCAGCCCCGUGCAUACGUAGUUAAACCGAGCGUUAAAAUAACGGUAAGUAUCUAAAGUUAGACCCGAAGCCUGGUGAUUUUACCAUAAUCAGGAUUAUAAAAGUCCGAACGGAAUAUUGUAGCAUAAAUAUCCGAAGAAUUAUGGUAGGUGUAGUGAAAGACAAUACUGACCAGGAUAGCUGGUUUUCUGCGAAACCUAUAACAGUAGGCAAUUUAAGUAUAAUAUCUUAGCAGGUACAGAAUUUAAUCUCAGACAAGACAUAAGGCUUAGCUUGUUAGCAAGUAAAGCUCAUGUUUUAUUUUGUACAAAUUGGGGGAUCAUGAAGAUUUUAUCAGUGAGUAUGUAGACUCGGAAUGGCAAAGAUAUAUCUUAAAUCAUCAGACAUAGAAUGAUAAGGUUGUAUGUCAAAAGGGAAACAGCCCAGAACAAGAGUUAAGGUUCCUAAAUUAUUAGUUGAGUGAAAUUAAGAAGGUUUUUAUUAAAGUCGACAAGGAGAUAGGCUUAGAAGCAGCCAUAAUUUUAUGACCUCGUAACAGAGCGCUUGUUAAGUUUUAAAAGCAUCGAAAAUUUAUCGGAUCUAAACAAUAUACCGAAACCUUGUCCAUAUUAUUUUAUAAUUAAAGCUUAAUUAUAAUUAAAUGGGGUAGCAGAACGUUGAGCUAAAUUAAGAUUUUUAUUUUUUAAAUGAAAUUAUAAUAAUUUAACUCAAGUGAUAAUGGUGACAUGAGUAACUAAAAGAAAAAAUAAAAUUUUUCCGCCUAAAGCUUAUGGAUGUAAUUAAGUAACGGCCUCUAAGUUUAUAUUAUCUAAAGAUUUAAACGAUGAGAUAAUCUUUUGUACUAAGGACGACAUUUUAAGUGAAAAAUGUACUGGAAAAAUAGUACUAAAUUAAUGGCUAUAGCUAAUUAGGGCUAUAGCUAUAAAUGAAAAGUAACCGUACCUAGAAUCUGAAACAAGUAAGCUAGUAGAGAAUACGAAGGCGUAAAUGAGCUAACAAUCAUAAAGGAACUCGGCAAAUUGACUACCGUAACUUCGGGAUAAGGAGAGCUCAUUAUUCUUGAUUAAUAUCAGGUAAAGAGGAAGAAGCAUGAAAUAGUGUUGUACGACUGUUUAAUUAAAACACAGCACUUUGCUGAAAGAUUAAAAAUCUAAGUAUAGAGUGUGAUGUCUGCCCGGUGCCGGCUGGUUAACAGAUAUAAUUAAAUAUACUAAUAUUUGAUGUAGACGGAAACCCCGGUUAAAGGCGGCCUUAACGUGAGGGUCCUAAGGUAGCGAAAUGCCUUGGCCGUUAAAUGCGGUCUUGCAUGAAUGAUGUAACGAUACAACAGCUGUCUCUAUGAUUGACUCAGUGAAAUUGGAAUAGCUGUGCAGAUACAGUUUACCUCUAGUUAGACGAGAAGACCCUAUGCAGCUUUACUGUCACUAAUUAUAGAGUAUGAUAAACAAUUUUCAGAUUAUAAGGUAAUUGACGGCUAGCUUGUUCAGCAAGCUAGCUCUAUGACAAUGAGAAUCCUUUAUUUUUUUUUCAUAUGAAUGAAUUGGUUUAGGAUUAUGAGUAGGUAGCUGCUUCUGCUACUUGGCGCAAGCAUUGCUUGCGUCAAGUGUCUGAAGUAUGCAUUCCAGCUCAUGCAUAGUAAAUCAACCUAAUUCAGCUUAUUUUCCUUUCUGCCAUAAGCGCAUAAUGAUAGAUUUAACUUAAAUUUUGAUUUAUGCCGAGCCCCUCCGGGGCUACUGCAGAAAUAGAUAAGUACCCUUGGCUAAGGAACUAUCGCUAGGGGACAGUUUAUGUGGGGCACAGACCCUGUAAAGAGUAAACAGGAGUGUCUAAUAAUUUAUAAUUAUUUUGUUUGCGAUUUAAGAUAGUGAAACUAUUUUUAAUCAUAUAAAAUUAUUUAUAUGUACAUUCGUUGUAUAUAUAUUUAAAAAAAGGUAGGAUUUUCACUAUAUAGAAAUUAGAGAUAAUAAAAAUAUUAAGAAUAUACCUUUCAGGUAGCACUAAUAUUUUUUAGCUAUUAAGACAGGCUAUCAAGCUAGGCUCUAAUAGUUAUGUAUUAAUUAUCUAAAAAGCUCAACGGCUAAAUCUUGCCUUACUGUUUGAUUAUCAACAAAUCUUACAGUUGCGUAAGCAGGGCAUAGGAUCACAAGAUGCAACAAGGAAAGAUCUUGGAUUAUUGGAAAAGCUACGCUAGGGAUAACAGGCUAAUUUGCGCAAGAGUGUACAAAAUGAGUGCGCGGUUUGGCACCUCGAUGUCGGCUUAACUUAUCCUCAUGGAUGCAGGAACUAUGUAGGGUGCGACUGUUCGUCGAUUAAAAAGUUACAUGAGCUGGGUUAAAUACGUCGUGAGACAGUAUGGUUUCUAUCUUCUAGGGGGAAUUAGAAUAUAAUAAGAACUAACUUUUGUACGAAAGGAACAAGAAGAAUUUAAUUUGUAAAAGGGUUAAAUAAUAGUUACUAACCUAUGGUUUACCUGUUGUCUAUGUGCCCAAAUAUUAAAAUAUAUAUAUGGAGGAAGCUCCUUAAGAGCUUCCCCCGCAAAUUAUAUAUAUCUGUAUAGCUAGCCUGCGGACUCCGGUUAUGCCUGAGUUUGGCAAGCUAAAGCUAUACAUAGGGAUGUUUCUUUCACUAAGAUAAAUAUAUAGCAUAGGCACGGCAGGAAAGCUAAGUUGGUUAAGGAUAAGUGCUGAAAGCAUAUAGGCACGAAGCUUAUCUUAAGAUAUUUCUUAAAUAUACGUAAAAUAUUAUUACGAAGGAUGUAAUAUAGGCUUUAUCCGUACGAAUCAGGAGAUUUUUAAGAAUAAAGUACUAAUUUUAUAAAUAACUAUUUAU
RNAcentral lists this ribosomal RNA (3324 nucleotides) under Fusarium concentricum. RNAcentral describes it as "16S ribosomal RNA". It matches the Rfam family "Bacterial large subunit ribosomal RNA". Lineage: Eukaryota; Fungi; Ascomycota; Sordariomycetes; Hypocreales; Nectriaceae. The record is from RNAcentral.